GAUGAACGCUGGCGGCGUGCCUAAUACAUGCAAGUCGAGCGAACAGAUAAGGAGCUUGCUCCUUUGACGUUAGCGGCGGACGGGUGAGUAACACGUGGGUAACCUACCUAUAAGACUGGGAUAACUUCGGGAAACCGGAGCUAAUACCGGAUAACAUUUGGAACCGCAUGGUUCUAAAGUGAAAGAUGGUUUUGCUAUCACUUAUAGAUGGACCCGCGCCGUAUUAGCUAGUUGGUAAGGUAACGGCUUACCAAGGCGACGAUACGUAGCCGACCUGAGAGGGUGAUCGGCCACACUGGAACUGAGACACGGUCCAGACUACUACGGGAGGCAGCAGUAGGGAAUCUUCCGCAAUGGGCGAAAGCCUGACGGAGCAACGCCGCGUGAGUGAUGAAGGGUUUCGGCUCGUAAAACUCUGUUAUUAGGGAAGAACAAACGUGUAAGUAACUGUGCACGUCUUGACGGUACCUAAUCAGAAAGCCACGGCUAACUACGUG
Molecule: ribosomal RNA, 497 nt
Filed under: uncultured bacterium
Lineage: Bacteria
Description: partial 16S ribosomal RNA
Rfam family: Bacterial small subunit ribosomal RNA
Source: RNAcentral